GCGUAUGUGGCGGAAUUGGCAGACGCGCCGGACUUAGGAUCCGGUGUUUCGACGUGCAGGUUCAAGUCCUGUCAUACGCA
RNAcentral lists this transfer RNA (80 nucleotides) under Ruminococcus sp. RNAcentral's name for it is "tRNA-Leu". It matches the Rfam family "tRNA". Rfam says of the family: Transfer RNA (tRNA) molecules are approximately 80 nucleotides in length. Their secondary structure includes four short double-helical elements and three loops (D, anti-codon, and T loops). Lineage: Bacteria; Bacillati; Bacillota; Clostridia; Eubacteriales; Oscillospiraceae. The record is from RNAcentral.